This 65-nucleotide microRNA precursor is filed under the name Danio rerio (zebrafish). RNAcentral's name for it is "Dre-Mir-15-P2b_pre stem-loop". It matches the Rfam family "mir-16 microRNA precursor family", at positions 10 to 75 of the family's 82-position model. From Rfam's summary of the family: The hairpin precursors (represented here) are predicted based on base pairing and cross-species conservation -- their extents are not known. Lineage: Eukaryota; Metazoa; Chordata; Actinopteri; Cypriniformes; Danionidae. The record is from RNAcentral.
UAGCAGCACGUAAAUAUUGGUGUGUUAUAGUCAAGGCCAACCCCAAUAUUAUGUGUGCUGCUUCA